UACGGAGGGUGCAAGCGUUAUCCGGAUUUACUGGGUUUAAAGGGUGCGUAGGCGGCCCUGUAAGUCAGUGCUGAAAUAUCCCAGCUUAACUGGGAGGGUGGCAUUGAUACUGCGGGGCUAGAGUACAGAUGAGGUAGGCGGAAUUGACGGUGUAGCGGUGAAAUGCUUAGAUAUCGUCAAGAACACCUAUAGCGAAGGCAGCUUACUAGGCUGUAACUGACGCUGAGGCACGAAAGUGUGGGGAUCAAACAGG
Molecule: ribosomal RNA, 253 nt
Filed under: uncultured bacterium
Lineage: Bacteria
Description: partial 16S ribosomal RNA
Rfam family: Bacterial small subunit ribosomal RNA
Source: RNAcentral